UGUAUAUUGAGUUUGAUCCUGGCUCAGGGUGAACGCUAGUAGUAUGCUUAACACAUGCGAGUUGAACGAAGAUUUAUCUUAGUGGCAAACGGGUGAGUAAUACAUAGGAAUCUACCUUUUAGUACGGGAAAAAAUCCUGUAUAAUACAGUAAAAAACAUAAAAAGAAAUAUUUUGCUAAAAGAUGAGCCUAUGCAGGAUUAGGUAGUUGGUAAGGUUAAGGCUUACCAAGCCUGUGAUCCUUAGUUGUUUUGAGAGAUUGAACAACCACACUGGGACUGAGACAAGGCCCAGGCUUCAGUAGAGGCCAGCAGUGAGGAAUCUUGGGCAAUGAGCGAAAGCUUGACCCAGCAAUAUUACAUGAAGGAAGACUGCUCAAAAGUUGUAAACUUCAUUAAUUGAGGAGGACGAUUGACGUUACUUAAUUAACAGCCCCGGCUAACUUCGUGCCAGCAGCCGCGGUAAGACGAAGGGGGCGGGCGUUACCCAUGAUGACUGGGCGUAAAGGGUCCGUAGGCGGCUUUUUAUGUUAGAAGUAAAAUCAAAAAGCUUUACUUUUUGAGGCUUUUAAUACGUUAGAGCUCAGAGUUUGAAGGAAGAUAGUAGAAUUUCAUAUGAAGGGGUGAAAUCCGUAGAAUUAUGAAGGAAUACUAAAGGCGAAGGCAAUUAUCUAUUUCAAUCUGACGUUGAGGGACGAAAGCAUGGGGAGCAAACAGGAUUAGAUACCCUGGUAGUCCAUGCUGUCAAAGAUGAGUGCUCUUGUUUGAAUUAUAUUUUGGACAAUUAGUUAACACAUAAAGCACUCCGCCUGGGGAGUACGGCCGCAAGGACGGAACUCAAAGGAAUUGGCGGGGGCCUAUACGAGUGGUGGAGCAUGUGGUUUAAUGCGACAAUACGCGCGAAACCUUACCAGUUUUUGAUAUGGGAGCAUGUGGUUUAAUGCGACAAUACGCGCGAAACCUUACCAGUUUUUGAUAUGUAUUUUGGAUAAUCUUUAUGGAUAAUCAAAAAAAUUUAUACAGGUGCUGCAUGGCUGUCGUCAGCCCGUGUCGUAAGAUGUUAGGUUCACUCUUUUUAACGGGCGAAACCCCUGUAGUUAGUUACUAUUUGUAUGUUUUUGACUAUAAAUAGUCAAAAACAUACAAAUUAUAUAUCCUAUAUAAAGAACUUUAACUAUACUGCUUUAUUGUUUAAAUAUUUGCUAAUUGUAAACAAUUUGUUGAGUUUUUAUUACAAUAUAUAAUGAGGAAGGAGGGGAUGACGUCAAGUCUUUAUGGCCCUUAUGAACUGGGCUACACACGUGCUACAAUGGUAAAGACAAAAAGAAGCAAUGAGGUAACUUGGAGCUAAUCUUAAAAAUUUACCAAAGUUCGGAUUGUGGGCUGCAACUCGCCCACAUGAAGGUGGAAUCACUAGUAAUCACGAAUCAGAACGUCGUGGUGAAUUUGUACUUAGGCCUUGUACACACCGCCCGUCACGUGCCGGAAGUCGGUUUGGCUAAAAAAUAUUUGUUGAUUAUUGUGUUUAACUUUUUUAUUUUUUUUGUUGACAAAUUUUAAAGUUUACUUUAAUUUGCAUAAUUUAUAGUCGGGUUGAUAACUGGGAUGAAGUCGUAACAAGGUAGUCGUACGGGAACGUGUGGCUGGAA
Molecule: ribosomal RNA, 1646 nt
Filed under: Vischeria cf. polyphem
Lineage: Eukaryota; Eustigmatophyceae; Eustigmatales; Chlorobotryaceae
Description: SSU rRNA
Rfam family: Bacterial small subunit ribosomal RNA
Source: RNAcentral